GGUAAUAUACUUUAAAUAAAAGAUUCGGUUUGCAAUUGAAAAAUAAGAUAAUUGAUCUUUAGUGCCA
RNAcentral lists this transfer RNA (67 nucleotides) under Hanleyella oldroydi. RNAcentral describes it as "tRNA-Ala". The record is from RNAcentral. Lineage: Eukaryota; Metazoa; Mollusca; Polyplacophora; Lepidopleurida; Lepidopleuridae.